RNAcentral lists this ribosomal RNA (496 nucleotides) under uncultured bacterium. RNAcentral's name for it is "partial 16S ribosomal RNA". It matches the Rfam family "Bacterial small subunit ribosomal RNA", at positions 28 to 507 of the family's 1533-position model. The record is from RNAcentral.
GACGAACGCUGGCGGCGUGCCUAAUACAUGCAAGUUGAGCGCUGAAGGUUGGUACUGUACCAACUGGAUGAGCAGCGAACGGGUGAGUAACGCGUGGGGAAUCUGCCUUUGAGCGGGGGACAACAUUUGGAAACGAAUGCUAAUACCGCAUAAAAACUUUAAACACAAGUUUUAAGUUUGAAAGAUGCCAUUGCAUCACUCAAAGAUGAUCCCGCGUUGUAUUAGCUAGUUGGUGAGGUAAAGGCUCACCAAGGCGAUGAUACAUAGCCGACCUGAGAGGGUGAUCGGCCACAUUGGGACUGAGACACGGCCCAAACUCCUACGGGAGGCAGCAGUAGGGAAUCUUCGGCAAUGGACGAAAGUCUGACCGAGCAACGCCGCGUGAGUGAAGAAGGGUUUCGGAUCGUAAAACUCUGUUGGUAGAGAAGAACGUUGGUGAGAGUGGAAAGCUCAUCAAGUGACGGUAACUACCCAGAAAGGGACGGCUAACUACGUG